This is a long non-coding RNA of Raphanus sativus (radish), 1588 nucleotides long. RefSeq lists it as uncharacterized. The record is from RefSeq and is a predicted model, not a curated record. The transcript is spliced from 2 exons. NCBI's taxonomy places the organism in Eukaryota, Viridiplantae, Streptophyta, Magnoliopsida, Brassicales, Brassicaceae.
GGUCCAUCUUGCUAUGGUAUGUCCGAGAUGUUGGGCUUGGGCUGUUUCCGAUUGGACCGUUUCCCACCCACAUCUCGAGAGGGGCUAUUAAUAUCCCACAUCGUUUGGGAUAAGUGUCCUUGGGCAAUAUAUAUGUGAUUGGGGCCAUUUUUAUAGGCUACAUAGGUAGACAACUAUUUAUAUGGGAAAUCAUCUGCUGGGCUUUCACCAUGGGCUCUGAUACCAUAUUAGUGAUGGGCCUAACUCACACCCAAAAGCUAGCUCAAGAGUGGAGGAUUACCCAAUCACAUAUAUAUUGCCCAAGGACACUUAUCCCAAACGAUGUGGGAUAUUAAUAGAGAACCGACAGACCGUUUACUAGACCGUGAAAAUAAACAAGCUUCGGAGUCAACGAAGCAACUGUCAAUGAGACGCAUUAAGACUGCUCUGAAAUGAAAGCGGCCACUUCCAAGAACGGAGAACCAGACAGGGAGCCGUGAAGGAAGAAUUGGAAGAGAGGCGGAGCAACGGGUAACCAUCUAGAAGCCAUAGACGACUGUCUGUCACAGUUACCAGCAGCAACCGCACAUGCCUAGACAGAGUCAGAUACCAUCUCCUCCUGCAUAUCAUGACUCCUGGCGUGCAACCGUUGAGAAGACCCAUCGAGACUCUCUUGAUAACAAGAGGAGAGAGAUGAACCUCACCGACACCGGAGAGGACCAAAGUUACCCACCACCGCUACCGAUUGACACCACCCCUCGACAAACGACACCGCCAUAGUCUAAUAGGAGGAGCAAACCUUCAAAAUCCUUCAACGACGCAGAGAUCCGACGAGAUCUAAAACCAGAUCUAGAAAAUUGAUCUCGUCAUAAACCCUAAAAUCCGACAACUUCACCACCAGACCUUAUUACCUCCUCGCCACAACACCAGAUGAAGCAUGUACUCGCCGGAGAUACGCCCCUUGCGCACGGAGCACUCGCCGGAGAGACGAACCAACCCAGGACUGCGAGCAUAUCGGAGGAAAAGCGAGAGGAGGAGGAGCAGCAAACCACAAACGAGGAGAAGGGAGAGAAGCUCCUCCGGCGCCGGUACGCACGCUCACGCGCCGCCGGACGCCGGAGAGAUGCACUGUACUUUGCUUUUGGUCUGCGAGAGAGAAGAGAAAGGUGGAAAGUCGAGGAGAGAGAAAUUGCCGUGGAAGGAUCCGAAGGCGACAAGUAAAUGCCAUGGAGACAUGUGUCGUUUCAACAAACUAAAAAUACUGAAGGUUUGUUAACUUUGAUGACCAUAUAACCGUGAAAGACGGCCACCGUGUUGUUGAGAUGUAAACGGCAAAACCAACACUAGAGUCUUGGUUUCACAGAAGGCGAAGAAAAGUGGUUAGAAAUGUGAAAAAGUGAUAGUAAGCACUAGAGGACGUGUCGGCCAAGUAGAGGAGUGUGAACUCCACAUUUCGCCAGGAGAGCUGAUAUGAGAUGAGAUCGGCAAGUGUAAGCACUAGAGGACGUGUGUACUGGGGAAAAAAUAGGGUAUAUAGGGUAUAACUAGUUCGUUAAGAUUAUACUUGUAAUUAAAUUUGUGAAACAUAUAACAUUAUUUUUUAUUUAUA